Molecule: ribosomal RNA, 490 nt
Filed under: uncultured bacterium
Lineage: Bacteria
Description: partial 16S ribosomal RNA
Rfam family: Bacterial small subunit ribosomal RNA
Source: RNAcentral
AUUGAACGCUGGCGGCAGGCCUAACACAUGCAAGUAGAACGGUAACAGGAAGCAGCUUGCUGCUUCGCUGACGAGUGGCGGACGGGUGAGUAAUGUCUGGGAAACUGCCUGAUGGAGGGGGAUAACUACUGGAAACGGUAGCUAAUACCGCAUAACGUCGCAAGACCAAAGAGGGGGACCUUAGGGCCUCUUGCCAUCGGAUGUGCCCAGAUGGGAUUAGCUAGUAGGUGGGGUAACGGCUCACCUAGGCGACGAUCCCUAGCUGGUCUGAGAGGAUGACCAGCCACACUGGAACUGAGACACGGUCCAGACUCCUACGGGAGGCAGCAGUGGGGAAUAUUGCACAAUGGGCGCAAGCCUGAUGCAGCCAUGCCGCGUGUAUGAAGAAGGCCUUCGGGUUGUAAAGUACUUUCAGCGGGGAGGAAGGGAGUAAAGUUUAUACCUUUGCUCAUUGACGUUACCCGCAGAAGAAGCACCGGCUAACUCCGUG